UAGAGUGGCGCACGGGUGAGUAACACGUAGGUUAUCUACCUCUGAGUGGGGAAUAACAGUCGGAAACGACUGCUAAUACCGCAUAAUACCUGCAAGGGUCAAAGCUUUAGUGCUUGGAGAGGAGCCUGCGGCAGAUUAGCUAGUUGGUAAGGUAAUGGCUUACCAAGGCGACGAUCUGUAUCCGGUCUAAGAGGACGGUCGGACACACUGACACUGAAUAACGGGUCAG
This 229-nucleotide ribosomal RNA is filed under the name uncultured bacterium. RNAcentral describes it as "partial 16S ribosomal RNA". It matches the Rfam family "Bacterial small subunit ribosomal RNA", at positions 91 to 334 of the family's 1533-position model. The record is from RNAcentral.